This 36234-nucleotide long non-coding RNA is filed under the name Cucumis sativus (cucumber). RNAcentral's name for it is "long non-coding RNA (CSAT_LNC000871)". Lineage: Eukaryota; Viridiplantae; Streptophyta; Magnoliopsida; Cucurbitales; Cucurbitaceae. The record is from RNAcentral.
CCUCAGUCGUCGUUUUUCUUCCUCUCUUUCAUGCCUGAGCAUAGUGUAUUCGUCUAGCAUAGCAAGGAGAGGAACACCGUCGUAAAUAAACGAGAUGCCACGAUCUUCCUCCCAAGCCCGAGUUUUGGCAAUUAAAGUGUCAACAAGAGCUAUAUAACCAAGCCAUCAAGAAGAGCCAAGCAUUAAUAUCCAGGGAUCGUAAGGAGAGUAUUGAAGUUCUCGUAUGUAUUUACAACAAACCUGGAAUUUUGUUAACCAGAAUUCUAGCUUUCUCUGCACGUUUGAGAUUCAAAUGAGCCCCUCUGCUAGCAUUGUACCUAUUAUCAUCCUGCAAGGUGACGCCACAAUGGUGUCAAAACAUAACACAACACAACACAAGUCCAGUAUUUUUGAGAAAUUAGAAGUAUUAGCAUAUACAUUUUAGUCUGAGCCUAUAGGAAUGGCAUUCAAAGUUUCAACUGUGAAACUGACAUGAUGUAUAUGUUGCUAAUCCUUUGCACUUUUAUCAACAAUGGUAACUUGGUAAGAAGUAAAAUUAAUUGCAAGUUUUCCAGUUUUUUUUUUUUUUUUAAAGCAAGUCCACGUUUUAGAUCUGUGAAUUUACAAACUGCAGCCAUACAGAAACGAAUCUUCCAUGGCUGAUUCAACAUACUGCUAGGCAUUGAAAUCUAUAACAAGUGUUGGAUAUUAUGGGUUUGUGUACAAUUAGAAAAAAAAUCAUAUGUCCAGCCAUGUUCAGUAAAUAAAAAUUUCAAGUUUUCAACUAUAUUCUAAUAAAAUCCAUGUUAAAACUGAAGCAGUUCAGGGAAUAUGAAAUGGCAAUUCCACAGAAAAUUAUAAACUGCCAAUCAGUUUAUGGUUCCCUGAAACUGAAUUUACAUAGACAAAUCAACGUAAUCGCAAGUUUUUAUAAUAGCGAUUUUUUUUAAUAUCAUAGCAGAAAAGGACAAGUACCCGAUUGUAGUCUUCCAGCCAGCUCUCUUCUUCACAAGCUAACAUCCAUUUUUCAACCUUGUCUAGUAUUUCUUUCCUGCUGAGAACUUCUUCUUUGGCCUUUGUUAUUUGAUCGUCCAUGUCAUCCAAUAAUUCAGCCGGCUCGACAUUACCAGAAUCAAUGAGUGCCAUAAUUUUUUCUCGAGCUGCCUCCGGGUCUAUUUCUAUGUGAGCGUGAGAAAAUAUCUCUUCAAGUUCAGAUUGUUUCUUGAAAGCAAUUUCCUUCAUCCUACUAGCCUUAAGUUGAUCAAGCCUCUCAACCUCCACCUCAGCCUUAUAAAUUUAACAUGUAGAACAAAAAAAAAUGUCAACAGCCACAUCUAUUCAAAUUUACUGCGUGAUAUCUACAGAAUACUCAAAUACCUGCUCAAUCAAAUCAAGAGCAAGAGCCCCUGGGACAGUCACUUCAUCUACUGAUGCUGAUAUAUUACACGUGACAUGGUCAAAUAAACUUCUUUCUUCUGAAGGGGUAUCCAUCAAAUUCCAAAGAUCAAUCAGCUGAGUUGCCAAUUCUUGAAGCUGUAUAAGACAAAAUACAAAAUAAUUCAAUGUUAAAAAGCUCCAAAUAAACAAGUUAACUGAAGUACAUAGUACUUCACCAUGGCAAUAUCACAACAUCAUAAUCUAGAGGUCGAAAUAAUGCAAGCUCUAGUAUGAAUGAGAAUGUACACAAUAAAUGUUAUCUUUACCCCCCAACACCUGACAGAUACAGGUGUUGUUGAAAUAUAGUAGAGUGGCCCAUGCAUUGGUUCAAGCUCUAAAAAGCUCAAGUUUCCCAUUCAUUGCUAUAUGUACUAGUUGCAAAUAAAGGAGGAAAGUUAACCGGUUCAAGCUCUAAAAAGCUGAAGUUUCCAAUAAAUUGAUAUAUGUACUAGUUGCAAAUAAAGGAGAAAAGACAUACCCAGCUAAGAAACAGUCAGAGCGUAUGGCAUGCCUCUGCUCCCAUUUUAAUGUUGACUAAAGCAAUAAAUUCAUUCUCGAUGCAAUACACAGGUAUUCUAAUUCUAAUUUCAUUUUAAAGAUAAAAAUGAGAGAUACAUUUUUGUGGGAAGAUUUAAGAUUUUAAACUAGUUGAAUAAUCUGAAGAAAAAAAGUUCAUUUAAAUAUCCUUUCAAUCAUGAUUGAUACAGAUUCUAAUGUAUAGGUUUUGCAUGUUUUCACAUUUUGCACCAGGGAAGCAAAGCAAAUGUAAUUUUGAAAUUUUCUUCUUUAGAGUGUGUUUGAAACUACUUCUUCAGUAAAUUUGGAGGAUCUAGAGUGUUAAUCAAAGAAUCUAAAGUGUUUGGUAAUGAAUAAAAAUCACUUGCAUAAUCAUCAUCUUGGUUUUGAAUCCUUUUUUGAAGAAACGUUUUGAAGUUGAUUAUCAAAAAAAUAAAUAUAAUGUGGUCUGAAGUUGAUUAUCCAAAAAAAUGAAUAUAAUGUGGUUGAUUGUGAAUCACUUUAUGAUUAAUUUAGCAUUUGUAGAAUCACUCCGAAUGUAGGCAAGCAAAUGAACUUUUGAUUAGAGAAAACACGAAUGUUUUGGUUAUAACAAUUUUUAUAAGUAGCAUUUUAAUAAAAAUGAAUAUUCUUAAAAAGUAUUCAAAUUAGAAGGUGCUCCAUAAAUAAACCCAGAAUAUUAAAUUUACCUUAUGUAGCCUUUGCUUUUUAUCUUCUUUCAGCGCUAAGACCAUCUUUGCCAGCUUGGAUAAAGUAUCAUUGCUAAUGCUUUUAGAUUGCACACCAGUUGCAUCAUUUAAGCUUGGGUGAACCUCGGUUACAGUGGCAAAGAAAUCAAUUCCAAGGACAGCACACAGAUCAUGCACAGUGCUCACAAAUUCAAGAACUUUGUGCAACCUAUCACUCUGUUCAUAUUUGAAUAUUGGAUCAAAUAUUGGCGUGAUGAAGGAAGAAAUAAAAAUAAAAAUAAAUUGCACCCCAUAAUAGAACUUCACCUUUUCCUUCUGCAGUUCCUGAAGUUGGCAAUGGUAUUCAUCAAGCUUUUCUACCGAAAGUUGAGAUUCAUCUACUACUGGAUUCUCGCUAAGGUUUAAACUCCCAGCAAUCUCCCCACAUAUUUUCUGAAUCUCUGAUUGUACAUCAAAAAAUUCCUUAACCCUCUGCUCUUUCUGUUUCCAAAGCUUUUCCAGAGCUGGAGCUAUGGCGGCAAGCUGUUCUUUGAUUGUUCCAGAAGCCUUCUCAGGCUGUAAUUAAAAGAAGAGAAUAGAGCUUGAUAUGAAUCACCAAACAACGCAUCAGCAUUGUCUCAGAUAUAAAAGGGGUCAUAUAAAUUAUUUACUCACAAAUUCAGAAAAACUUUUUUCACCAAGAGCAGAUAGAAGACUGGAAAGCUCAUGCUUUGCAUCUGAUAAAGACUGCAAAAGUUUUGCCCUUGACUUAUCAGCUAGCUCCACUUUCCUUUUGUAGACAUCCAAACAUUCUUGAUCUAUCUGAAGCAGCAUUUUAUCUCGUUCCUCAUCAGUUUCACCAACUUCAUCCCAAAUUUCCUAAGAUAGUCUUUGGUCAGUCCAUAAAAAUUUUUAAGAUGAAAUAGAGGAAGCAAAAGAUCAACAGCGUGAUUUAUUUACUUGUAGUUUCUGCAGUAGGGUACCACAUGUGGUUUCUCCUUGAAGAGGAAUUUGUGUAUCCGCUACCGCCAUUCACAAAUCUGUUAACUUCACACCUUUAUCUGCAUCAAUCAAACUCUCAAAGUUAGGUUCUGUGCAUGAAACCAUGCAAUGUUAAUCCUGGAGAUCACAUCACCCCCACACAUUUCACAUGUUUUGAAUCUUGAUGCCAUUUUAAAAAAAAAAGGUAUAUGAGAGACUGGAACCACAGUACCAAAACAUAGUGGCCAAACAAUUUCUAUAAACAUAUAUAUCUCUGUGCAUAAAGCAUGGCAUGUGUAUAUGGAUGAGAGAGAGAGAAAGAGGGAGCAUUCAUAAACUUAACUUACAAUUCAUCAAACUGACCGAUUAACAAUUCCUUCUACUCAUAACCCAAGAGCUAGAAAUUAUUCUUAUUCUAAGUUGAAAUAAGUAGUUCAUCUCAUUUAAACGCACUUAAUCAACCAAAUAGACUCCAACACAGUCCCCCACCACAACAAUUCACUCUGGGUUUUUAAGAAUUAAGUCAGAAAAAGGUACGAAUCUCAAAUUUCGCAAAUUCACAAAAAUCGCAGAACCACAACAAACAUUAAACCCUAUAUUUCAUAAAACCAAGAGCAAGAAAGAAUCGGGGACACUCCGCACUCUCACAGUAGAGACAUAGUACAAUCACAUUCCAGGAGGAAGAACAUGAAAAUUCAACUGAAACCCAUGUAUGAAAAUUAGAACGGCCAUUGAGAAAAAUGGCCACUAAAAUCAUCCUCGAAGCCAAUGCUUCUGUGAAUACAGCUUCAGAUCUACAAAUACUCCCAUUCCAUCAAAGAGUUCCCACGAUUAACACGACCGACGUAAGUCAUUCCACCAAAGGUAAAAAAUCAGUCCAAAAAAAAAAAAACAAAUUAAACCAGCUCAAGCAAGCUAGAGACCACAAAAAAAACCCCUCAUUACCAAAACCCACAACCAUAAACACAAAAUCACAAAUGCAUAUUACGCAACAACAAAUACCCGAUCCUAAACCCUACAUUUCAGAGAAUUAAGAAUCUACAACACCCGGAUCUCAGUCAUUACCAGAUUCCACCAAUCACAUUCCAGGAAAAAAAAAAAAACAGAGCAAAGACGUUGAAAGAAAGAAAACCCAGAUACAGUAACUCAAACCCAUGACUAGCAUUAGCGGCAAAAGAAUCAAACAAAGAAAAAAAAAUCAAUACCCAGAUCUUGGAAGAAGCAAAAAAUGUAUUCAGAUCUACAAGAAAAGAGAACUUGUACUGUAAGUGUUGGUGAUUGUGGAUGUGAGUGAUGAAAAGUAUAAUAACUAUGAGAGAACAGAGAAAUGGAGAGAGGAGAGAGAGAGAAGAAUACAGAGAGAGUGUGAGAGACAACAAUCCAGAGCAUGCAGAUUAGAGGAGAAAAUGAUGGAUGGGAAGGGAGGAGGGUUGGGGGUUUGGUAAUGGGACCCUUAAAUACAAACAAUAUCCAAUUGUUUCAACAUUAUAUAUCAUAAUUAAUUAAUUUUUUCUUUUAUGUAAUCACCCUUAAUUACCAAAGUGACACUCUCACUAUACAAUCAAUACUCAUUAACAUAUCAUAAUGCUACCCUCCGCCUCUCUCAAUAAUCAAUAUCAAAAUUGCUCAAAAUAUGAACAUAACAUAACAACUCAUAAAUAAGUAAAUAAUAAUAAACUAAUACACAAUACUUUUUAAUUAUAGAAUUUAAAAUUUGGUUAUAUUUUGUAAAUAUUUGUUUUUAUUAUAAAAUAUUUUUUAAAAAAUUAUUCGGAUUCAUAGAAAGAGAAAGAUUUGUUGUGAAUUGUCAUGUGGCCUAUCCCCACUCCCUAUCUCAUUUCUUAAUCACAAUUCCCUUCUCUUCAAUGAUACCUAUUAUCUUUUCUUUCUAAUUUAUUUUUUUCCUUUUUCAUUCAAAGAAGGGUGAUGGAUUUCUAACCAACUAACUUUUUCUUUUUAAUUUUAGGUUUAACUAAAAUAAAUGAAAAACAAUAUACUUUAUUUAGCAUACUACAUUGAAACAAAAACCAAUAAGACAAUAAACUAAAAAUAAGAGUGGAACGAAUCGAUUCUCUAGUAUAGUUUUUGAGCCACACCUUCCACAACUAAAAAUUACAACUAUGAAAUGAUAAUUCAUUUGAAGAUAUAAUUUUUUGAAAAAUUGCUUCAAAUGACAAAAACAUUUAGAAAAAUUAGUGAUAUCAGAUAACUAUCGUAUGGUAAUCAUAGGACUAUCAGACGGUAACCAUAGGACUAGAAGAAGAUCAUCACUUUUAAAUUUGCUACUUUUGCAUGUUCAUAAAAUGUUAUAACAUAAAGCUCUAUUAUCAUAAUUCUUUUUGCUAUUUUUGUAAAAGUCCCUCAUUUUUUUUACUGUUAAUCCGUUGGAAACCAGGACACGGAUUGUGAUGAUCUCGAAUGACAUCAACGAAAUCCUAAAUUUUGUUUACUUUCCAAAACUACCAUUAAAUAGAAAGUUGUCGUAAUAUUAAAUUCGGUACUGUAAUAGAUCAUCACAAUAUCUUAGCUUAUUGUUAUACAGAUUUAAGUCUCAAUUAUUCGUUCUAAUAUAUUUUUAUAUACUUAUAGAAUGAGAAUUUGGACCAUAUUUUACCCAUACAAUUCUCAAUCUAUAAUUGGUUAAUAAAUACACAUUUCCAUUCAUUCAAAGAUAUGUAAUCAAUUUAAAUAUAAAACUUGAUUUAUUAAUUUAGACAUAUAUUUUCAAUCCACAGGUUGAAUUUUUGUUCUUAUCUCCACCAACCCUAUUGGCAAAUUGGAGAAAAAAAAUAUAUUUGUAUGUUGUUUAAUUUUAUAAUCGAAAGUUUCCAUUUGUGUGGUGUUUAAAUUUUAGUAAAUAUAGAAUGAUAAAGAAAAUCGAUAUAUAUAUAUAUAUAUAUAUAUAUAUAUAAGAGAUAUUGUAAAAAAAACAACAAAAUAUUCACUUAAAAAUUAAGUUUUUGUCUUUUUAAUGGGUUUUUUAAAGUAUAAAUAGUUUUUUUUCUUUCUAUCAUUGAAAAAUACCCAAAAAAAAAAAAAUAUAGUGAAUUUGCUUUCUAAAAUUAUUAUAAAUUUAGUCCACAGUAACCUUUUACGACUUUUUCAUAUAUAACAAAAUGGUGGAAAAAAAUUUGUAAGUUAGUCUGAUUUUGCUAUAUUUAAAAAUAUUUUUAAGAAUUUAUUCUUUAAAAUAAGUACUUUUUUUUUUCUUUUAACUACUUUUUGAAGUUUUGUCCAAAGCCCUAAUGUCAAACAAAAGAAAUCCACUUUUGACAUUUCCCCCUUUAACAAUUUAACCAAUAUUUCAAAAGUUACAGUAAAUAAAUUAGCCAUUAUAGUUUCUACUGUUUUUCUUAGAGAAUUUAAAAAAAUAAUCAUUAAUAUAUCUUUAAAUCGUGAGAAUUCAAAAUUAAAAUACAAAUGAUUAAACAUGACCAACACCAAACAUUUAGAAAUAUAUUAAUUAAUUUACGGUAGAUGUUCUUCAAAUUUUGUUUAAAUAAAAUGAAAGGUUAAUAUUUUAACUUGAAAUAUUUAGAAAACUUUGGAUUUCACUAAAUUGUUGAAUAAAAAAUUUAAAAUUCAAAGACGGCAUGCAUAACACAACAUAACUUACCAACAUUAUUUAAAUAAAUUUGAUGUGACAUGACAACCCUUGUACAUAAAAUUUAGUAAAUUUCAGUGGUCAAUGUUAUCAUUAACAUUUUUUAAUGGAUAAUUCACCAUACAUUUAUCACACCUAAAAUUGAGGUUAUUUAUGAUUGUAAUUUUUCUACCAUGAGUUACCUCAUUUAUUUUUUAAAAAAUAAUUUGAAUAGAAAACUCUUUUAUGUAAACUGUUUUUAAAAAUAAUUUUAAAUUAAGAAAAUUAAGAAGAUAAUUGUCUAAACUUAUAGAUGUAAUGAAAGCUUAUGAUGAAAGUUUAUUAAUUUGAAGUAAAAUAAAAAAAAUGGGAAGAAGAAAAGUGUUUGAAGGACCCAAAGUUUGAUUAUUCCAAAAUUGUGAAUCUAUCGUGAGGACAAAAUUCUUGCAAGUUGGAAGUGAAUGAAGGAAGGAAUUUUUCUUUUAUAACGUGCAAUUCUGAAAAAAACAAAAGUUUAAAGGUAUGAACAAAGAAAUUAACUCACUACCUUUUGUUUUUUUUUUAUCUGUAAAUUUGCAUUUCAUGUAUAUAUUAUUUUGUUCAUUUAUUACUAUUCAAUUUUAUUCUAAUAACCCAUUUUCAUUACUUGAAGAUUUAUAAAAUUUGAUUGAAAAUAGAAACGAGGGAAUGGAAAGCAAAAAGGGAACCACGGAAUUAAGAAAAUAGAAUUAGAAAGAAGGUAACAUUAAAUAGGAAGUAGAAUAUUGGAGUGUUUGACUAACAAUAAUGGUGGGACUCUGGUUUGACAAUUGAUGGAUGCUAAGGCCAUGUUUGUUGGUAGCUCUGGGUCCAUUUACAUCACCCAUUAUUACAACCACAUUUAGGACAUUUUUGCCUCAUGCUACCGAUCAAACCUAAGAAUUUUUGUUUCUUAACUAUUUUUCUUUUCUUUCUUUUAAAAAUAAUCACAAAACUUCUUUUCUAAUGUAGGAUGUGAACAUUCCAUCGAUUUUACGUACUUAGAUUAAUUAAUCCGACUUCUUUUAGUUGAGAGUACAUGAUCAUACCCAUUAACCUAUCUCAUCUCCAGAUUUUAUUUGUUAUAUAUAUGAUACUAUUCGUCAUUGUAGCUAAAGUAUUGUCAAAUGUAAUUUCACUUCUUUUUGUUACAUUGUUCUAGAAAGAUAUUCAAAUUUUAUUUCAUUGUCGGUUUUACACAAAUCUUACGUUGAUAUAUGUAAUUUUGUGGAGAAACAUAACCAACGAAAUAUUAAAAAGUAUACAAACAAAUAUGUUAUGCAAGAGAAGUUUUAACUUCUUUUUUUUUUAAAUUAACGAAUAUUCAUAUACACUUUUUUUGAAAUAUUAGGUAAAUAUAGAACAUUCUCGGAUAGAAAUCAUAUAAAACAAUAUAUAUCUAAACGAUGUUGGAUAUAAGUAAUUCUCGAGAUUUAUAAUUUCAGACAUUUAAAGAUUUCAUUAUCUACUUUUAAAGAAUAAAAAAAUGGGUGUUUUUGUUGUGUUUUUUUUAAAUAAAUUAAAUCAUUAAUACUACAAAAUAGAGUAAAUAUUUUAAAAUUUAGGUGGAUGGAAAUAGAAUUUGGCCUUGAAAAUAUAUAGUUGAUUAAAGGGUUUAACAUGUGUGUUUGGUACUUUGAUCUAUAAUGUGUAACAUAUUUUUAUUUUAUGUUGUGACCUUUGUCUUUGUUUUGCUAUUAUAUUUUGUGUUGCCAUUCUUAGAUUUUGAUAUAAGAGUCUCAUAUACAUGUGGGUUAGAGAAAUUAAUAAAAUUAUCAAAUGGGUUUUUAAGUAAAUUUAAGAAUGAAAGUAAUUAUAUCAAAUAGGUUUUAAACUAAAUUUAAGAUUGAAAUAAGUUUGAUAUCAAAAUUUAGGUUAGAUUCCUUAUUUACAAAUUAGGUUAUUUCUAACUCAUUCGUAAAAUUAUUGGUAAAUGACAAAAUUGUUGAAAGUAUUGACAAAAUAUAACAAAAAUUUCAAAUUCUAUAUCGACGCUAGAUACAGAUAAAUUUCUAUCAAUGUGACUGAUAAAAUACUAGUAGAAGUUUAUCAAUAUCUAUCAUUGAUAGAAUAUGCAAUUUUGUAAAUGAUUCAUACUGAAAAUAGCUCAUUUUGAGUUUAUCGUGGUCUAUCUGUAUUAUGAUAUACACAUACAAUAAUGUGUUGUGGUCUAUCGAUCGCAAUAUUUUGUUAUAUUUAUUUAUAAAUAUUUUUAAAACUUUUAUGGUUGAAAAUGUUUAUAAUUCAAUCAAAUGAAUAUAUUUUAGAUUGUGAUUACCUAUUUACAAGUCAAUGUUUUAAAUUCUCAUCCAAACCAUUAAUAUACAAUGGAAAAAAAAGAGUGCUUAAUUUAUUGAGGAUUGAAGAUUGUUGGGCAAUAAAUAAUGUGUUGAUCUUUAUUAUUGUUAUUAUUUAUUUGGACAAUAAUAAUGUGGUAAAGGCUAAAAGAACUAUGAACUUUAUUGGUGAAUGACCAUAGGCCCUCAUGUUAUUAGUAUUUAUUAUUCUUAUUAUAUACUCUAGGAGUGAUUUUUGACUCAAAACAGACGAUGGUCGUUUUUAUGAAAAUUUUGAACUAUUUGAUAAGAAAGGAUAAAACUCGAGCUAUAUUAAAACCACACAAUUGAGUCCAAUUAAGUAUGGGAAGAUGGGAGGUUUAGAUCAAGGCCCAAAUUGAACUACUCCAGUUUAGUAGAGGAUGAACUUCGACGCAGUUUUUUCUCAUUCGAGAAAUGGAGAAUACUAGAAUUUGUUUUGAUUUCGAGAAAAUUGUUUAGGUCAAAAGCUCAAACCAAUCUUCUUAGCCUUCACUCAAGAAUUAAUUUAAUUUUAUUUGAAAACACUCAUAUCGUCACAAAGUCGAAUCAACCUCUUCAAACUCUACUCUAAAAUCUAUCUACUUGAACCUCGAGAAGGAGGAUAAUUUGAGAUAAAUGGAACAUAGCUAAAGAGUAAGUUGUAUUUGCAUUCUCGUUUGAGAUUGAAUGUUCAAAUCCUAAAAAGACUUUAUAGAUUGUAAUUGAAAAAUUAAAAGAUUUUCAAUACAUUCAUUUUAAAUUGAUAAUUUGACAAUAUUAUAAUUAAACACUACUUUGGAUUUAUGAUUUUUUAAUACUUUUAUUGUAUCCAAAAUUUAAAAACGUUCAAUUGUACCGUACAAAUAAAAACAAUGUUUGUAUGCAUGUGCAACUUUACUUUUAUCAUAUCUUCUACUAUACAACUUCAUUUAUUUUUUCAAAAGAUCAAUAAUUAUACGUUUUCUUUUUAGUGAUUUUCUAUAACUAUAUUUAUAACCCAAACAAAAAGAAAAAAUAUAUUAAUUGUUAAGGUUACAAAAGUCAAAAUGAUCUAAAGAUUGAUGUUGGAGAGGUCGUAAUAAUGAUGAGCUAUGCUGACAAAAUGAAUUUUUUUAUGUUAGAUUUAGUUAAUUAUUCUAAUUCAUUCCAAAUUGAACAAGUAUAAAAAUUUCUUGUUAAAUCAUUUACUUUAAUUAUUGUAGAGAGCUUAAAUGUUAUUUGUGAUUGUAUUCCAUUUUGACAUGUUUUUUUAAUACACAAGAUUCAAACCACUCAUUUCAAUUAGAUUAUGACUUUUUUUUUAUAAUGAAAUUGAGAUUUAGUUAAAGGAAAAAGAAAACAAUCAUAUAUCUAAUUAAUAUAUAACAUCUUAAUUAAGUGCACUAAAGAGAUUUUAAUGUGAACAUGUAUCAAAUAUUAUACUUAAUUGCUUGAAGAGGAUAUUCAGAAAUUUUUAAUUACAAUAAUACUUUUGUUGCUUUUAGAGAGUGAGAUUAUCAAGUAGAACAAAGAAGGGAUUAUUUAUUGUAAAAUAUUGAUAUGAAAUGAGAAAUUUGAAUAAUUAGCCGUUAUGAUUCAAUAUUUUAUUGGAGUGUGAGUGAGAUGCACUCAUUAUUGAAUGAAAACACUAUAUAAAAUAAUUCAAUAAUGGUCCAAUAAUUAUUGGAUAUUAUUAUGCACACACAUAUCAAAACAAUUAUUGGAUAUGUGUACAAAUAUCACACUCAAUUCUUUAUUGCAUGAUUGAAAAAAUAUUCAAAGAAAUACUACACUUGUGUUUUGUGUCAGUGUGUAUAUAUAUAUGGUUUAGAUGGGUUGGUGGUUAGCUUACAUUUGUUUAAUUAUCAUACAUAUGGUUAAAUGGGUUGGCGGUUACUUAAAUUUAAUUAUUGUUUCGUUUUUGAUUCGAUGGUGAAUAGUUUUCGUUGAGGUUGAAGUAAAAGUGGUGAAUUUUGUUUUUGACAUUCGAAAUAUUGAGGCUUCUUGAUUUUUCGUUGGCUUCCUUCCAUCAUGUUUUUCACGACUACAAUAGUACGACUCGUUUGUUAGAAGGUUUGAGUUUCUUGAGGUUAAGUGCAUUGUGGGUGUAUCUUCAGAUAUUUAUGCAUGAGUUUCGUCUUUUUGCUUGAGUUAUUUCGCUAUUAUUAAUUAUUUAUAGCAAUGUAGUAAUGUAAUUUUCCUUUUGGUUUGUACGUAUAUAUAUUAAAAAAACUUAAAUUUGAUCGAAAAAAUUUAAUGUUGAGGCAUCCAACUGUACAGAGAGAAGGAAGAUGGGUAUAGGUGGAAUUCUUUGAGACUAUAAAGUGAGGGUAGUAGUGGAGUUUCUCAAAGUGCUCUAAUGGAUCUGAGGUAUUGAUGUGUUAUCGAUUGAGGCUUUGACUCUGCUUCAUGCCUUACAAGUGCCAUACGUGAAAGUUGAUUUUUUGGUAGAAUCGUACUCUCAAACUCUUGUGCAAACUAUUCAUUAUUCCAGUAGUUUAAAAGACCCCAUGGAGACAUUAUGGAGUGGAAGUUUCAAAUUUGUGCCUGGAUCUACCCAUGCGGUGGCAUAUUCUAUUGUGGGUUAGGCUAUAUCCAAUGAACAUGAGGAGGGGAUAUGGAAAAAAAAUUAUCUCCUAGUUGGCUUUCUUCUUAUUAUCUUAAGGACGAUGAUUCCAAGUUUAGCCCUUUGGGACAAUCAUUUUUUUUAAUCAUGUUUAUGUUAUUUUUUAUCACAAAAAUGCUUAUGAUUCUAUAUAUCAUCUUCUCAUUAUAAAAAAAAUUAUAAUUAUAAACGUGACAAUCACAUAGCAUUUUUUUUUUCUUUUAAGAAAGGUUGCAUAACACAUAUAUUAAGUCAAUGUGAAUUUUAACGUUUUAAGUUGGAUUUCAAUAAUGAUUGAGUCAAACAUUAAAAUAAAGCAUUGUUUGUUGCAAUUGAUACUCUAUUAAUUUAAAACCAAUUUUUUUCAAAAGUUGAUCAACUUGAAACCAUGUUUAAACAAAAAGAAAAAAAAAUUAUGAUUUAACAAAAUCAAAGACACUUAGCUCGGCCACUAAAGCAUAUCAACUUUCUUCAAAAAGUUUCAUAGGUAUUAUUCCUCCUAUUCACAUUUGAUGUAAUAUUAUAAAAAAGUAAAUAUGAAUUGACCUAGGGCCAAUAAGAGUAAUGCAAAAAUGGAAAAGGAAUCCAAAGAGAAUAAUAUGUGAUAAGUUGUUUACAAUUAAGAAUACUCGAUUGUGUGCAAGCUUACUCCAAAUACCAACAACUAUAAAAUAAUAGCAAUAAAGGAAAUCACGUAUUUCUUCGAAGUUGUAUCGAUUAAAAUUUCAGUGACAUGUUUGAUUGAAGGUGUAGAAGUUGGGGAAUUUACCUCCAACAAGUCUAUCCAAUCUUUGAACUAAUGCAUUUUUAAAUCUACAAUGGAUGUGGCCUCGCGACCAAAAACAUAUCAAUCCCAUUACUUAAGUUUGGGUUAAAUUUAAAUAUUCAUUUUCUAAAAGAUAAAAUGAGUAAUUGCAAUGAAUUGACAAUAACAUUUUAUAGAAAUGAUAAUGCAUUUAACAAAAUUUAUAGCAAUAGACUCUAUUGUUGAUAAACUCCUAUUAGUUAUCUCGUCUAUCACUCCUACUAAUAUUUUAGGCUUCAUUGUUAUAUUUGUCCCUGCCAAAUAAAAUUUAUCAUAUAUUUUCUGGUUUAGUCAAUUUUAGUUUAUAUAUUUUAACACAGUCAAUUUUAAUUCAGAAAUCUCAAGGCCCUCGAAACUAGAUUGUAGUGGCACUUGGUUUAAUAAGGAAAAGAUUUGUGCAAAGAAAUACAAUAUGUAGAUAUGUUUGUAUGAUUUAUAAUAAAAGUAGUAAAAUGUAAUAAACUUUUUGUUUGUUUGUUGAGAAAGACCAAUACAAUAUAGUAGUAAAAAUUAAAUUUAAGGUUAUGACAAAUAUCUCUUGAAUUUAGGAAGUUAAAUAAUACCCUUUUCAUUUAAAAAUAAGUUAAAAAAUAUAUUACCAUUAAAUAUUAUGUAUAAAAGAAUAUAAGAAUAUCUUUUAAUUUUGAAAAGUUUCAAUACAUCGUACACUCUAAUAAAAUUUUUAAAAAUUAUUUUUAUUUUGAUGAAACCGUCAUUACUUCGUUUAAAAAAUAUUAAACUAUUGUCAUUAAUAUAACGAUUAAUUUAUUUGAAGUUAUCGUGUGUUGAAAGAAAACUAAAUUUAGAAUAUACACAUUUUUUUUAUCUCUUAAUAUAGAUACGCUAAUUUUUCUUCAAUUGUUCGAUUCUUAUUCAUCAAUUUUCUUAGCACCUAAAUAUAAAAUAAAGCUUCAAGUAGAAUCUAACCCAAUGUCACAAAAUUUCAAAAUCAAAGUCUCACUAAGAUAAACAACCAAAUAAAAAAUGAUAUGAUGGAGGAGUAUCGUUUUGUAUCAACACGAGUCUCAAUGUAACACAAGAAAUAAAUUUAUUGCUAUGGUUAGCAACAAAAUGUAUCUAUUUACAAAAAUAUGAUCGAAAACUUAAAUGGCUUGUGAGAAUUGUUGGAUUUUAAUAUAUUUUUUAAAUAGUUUGGUAUUUUGUUAUUUUUAAAAAUCAACUUUAUAGUAAAAGGAAAAGGAAUUAUCGCACGUGUCGGCUGAGUAUUGAGUGGGAGCCUUACUCCCUCAGCCGCGGAUUCUCCACCUUCAGCAUCCAACCAAGAACAUACCACUCGAAGACUGACCGUUACUUCCAUUUCCAAUUCGAUCAUCGUUCAACAAAUUGAAUCAGAAUCCAGAAUCCUAUCUCCUUCGAUAUGUGGAGCUUCUCAACAUAUUCCCAUGGACUAUCUCUCCUCAUUCUCUUCGCUACUUCAAGUAAACCAUCUCUCUUUUCUCUCUAUAUCUUCCCCAGUUGAUUCCCGAUGUAAAUUUGAAUGAUAGCCAAUUCAAACUCAUUCUUUUAAAGCUGGGAAAUCUGUUCUCUAUCGAAUUAAGAAACCCAGUUUGUAAUGCGGCUUUGUUACUGUAAUUUCUUUCAGGUUUGCUCGGAUUUGCUUUUGGUGGAGAAGGGUUUUGUUCUGCACCAUCUGUUGUCGACUCGGAUGCUGAUUCGAAGGCUUUGUAUUACAAAGUGACCAAUCCUACUCUUUCACCUUCUCAUCUGCAGGGUCAGUAAGUUUUUGUGAUUAAUUAAAAUGGGAUUGUGUUAGAAUGGGUACUCAACUCAUCUUAUGUGGAGUCUGCUGUUGAAAUUUCCCAGUUUAUCGAAUACCCUCUGCCUUAUCUGAUGCAUAUUUUCAUUGAGAUUGUAAUCACUCUUUGAACGAGAUGGAAUUGAAUGUAACUAAGUAAAACAUUAUUUUCAGCGAAUUAAAAUGUAGAAACUGAUCUAAUAGACAUAUAGAGUCAGAUGAUAUGAUAUUAAACUUACCUUAGUUGGUGGUCCAAGAGGAGGUCUUGUGUUCAAGCUUCUUUAAUGUUUUUUACUCCUCCACUAACAUUGAUUGUCACUUGCUAGAAUCUUCUAUAUAUUUCAAGCCCAAACGUGAAAAUGAGUGUUUGAUGAUAUGCUUUUCAGUCAAUUGGUGAUAUAACCAAUAUCUUGCUGACAUUUUGACGAUGUCAUUUAGAGUUUAAGUUCACAAAGUCUAACAUUGUUAUUCUUGUUAAGUGAUCUUUGUUUCGAAGUAUGUAAAAGGCAAACAGAGCUUCUCUUUAGGAUUUGGUUCGAAUAAUUUACACUGUGACAAUAACAUGUUACUUUCUCGACUUCAUUUGAUUUUUCUGUCUAGACUUACCUGGCUUCACACGAAGUGUUUACAAAAGGGAUCAUGCCUUGAUAACCCCAGAAAGUCAAGUGUUCAGUCCUCUACCAGAGUGGUAAAUUUGGCUUCUUUCUCUCCUUUUGAGUUCUGUUCAUUCAUGUUAUUAUUCUUUGCAAUACUUGUAACUUGAUGUACUUUUCAGGACUAAUACACUGGGUGCAUAUUUAAUCACACCGGCACUUGGUUCACAUUUUGUGAUGUAUCUUGCUCAGAUGAAAGGUUUGGAUAAACCUUGCCAUAAAAUCUCCACACAUCAUGCAUUCAAAGACAUACAGGUUUUUUUAGUAAUAGUUUGUUUGCAUUUUCUUUUAUCUCAUGAGCUGCAGAGAAAUCUAAAUCAGGAUUGCCCCCUACUGAUGUUGAGAGGUGUACUUUUCAUUUUUCUUAUAUACUUAUAUAUCUUGACCCAUACCAGAGAAUUUGGUGAUUUCUGCUGAAUAAUUAUAUUACCCAAUUAACAUUUCAAAUUUUCAUCGAUUUUCUUCCUACUAGGUUUUUAUUUGUCAUUCAAGGAGCAGUGAAACUUACCAAUUCGUCUGGCAUUAGUGAAAAACUCACGGUGAGACAGAGUUGUCUAUUUUCUUGUUCAAACUUUCUUGUAAUAAGCAAUUGACAUGCCAAAAUUUCAUCUAUGCACUUUCUUCUAGCUUUUAUUUGCUCCUUUUGUAAGUUAAGAUUGAACAAAAGGUCUUUUAAGUCAUACUUCAUAGAUCAGGAUUACAUUUGAUCUUCUCAGGCUGCAAAUAAGUUCAUGUAUGUAAUGUCUGUGCUGAAAUACAAUACUAUUCCUUCGGCAUUCUUUAUUGUCCUGUUUGAAUGCUUGGCUGCAUGAAGGGUGAGGAUUUGUUGCUAGUGAAGAAGUUCACAGAUAACUGCAGCCCACCGAAUUCUAUUGUUUGAUAUGCAUUUUUAUAUAUGUCUUUACUUUCAUUAUCUGGUCUGUUUCUUAUCUUAAAAAAGGAAGAGGAAAUAUAAAUAAAUAAGUAUAUAUAUUUUUAAAAGAAUCAAUAUGUGAAAUGCAGGUCGAUUCAUUUGCUUAUCUACCUCCAAAUUUCGAUCAUUCCGUCAUGUCCGACUCUUCCGCUACACUUGUGGUAUUUGAGAGAAGGUUUGUUUCUGCAUGAUACUUAUAACGUACAUGAAUGGCUUUCACAUUUGUGCAAGUGCACCCUUAAUUUUCACCGAAGUUCAUGAUAAGUAUUUAUCAAUACUUGCAUCAUGUAUGUAUACGUACUUUCACCUGAAACCAAUGUUCUAAGAGAUGAUUAUGCAAUUGUCCACUGUAUCUAAUGUGACAUAUAUCAUUUACAUCAACAUGUGGACUUGAGAAAUACUUCACUAACAUUGUUAAUAAUUGGCUUAUAAACUGUUCACCUUUUGUGACUUGAGAUGUUCUCAUUGAAUCAGGUAUGCUUCUUUAGUGGAUCAUCACACUAAGCAGAUUGUUGGUUCAACAGACAAGCAACCCCUCCUUGAAACUCCUGGUGAGGUAAGCAACAAUUUAUCUCCUUGCUACUGAAAAGUUAAAAGGUAAUGCAGCUUUUUCUGUUUCCUUCUUUUUUGAAGAAACAACACAACUUUUCAUGGAUAAUAUGAAAACCUGAAUACAAGAACUCAGCAAAAAUUGAUAGAAAGUAUCUGAACUUAACGAAUUUAAUAAACUAUCCUUGGAACCAAUGGUAAUUCUAAACACUUUGGUUAGAUAUGUUCUUAUAUUGGCUUAGAUAUUUAAAACUUCUUCCUUGUUUCGUGUCAAAUUACAAGGUCUUUCAACUUAGGAAGCUCCUUCCCAUGUCCAUGCCUUAUGACUUCAACGUCCACGUAAGUUAUGAGUUGCAAUUGGAAGAUUAGUUCUUCUGCCUCGUUCACAAGCUUUCUCAUAGUUCAAUUUGCAUAUCUUGGCCCAGAUCAUGGAUUUCGAACCUGGAGAAUUUCUUAAUGUGAAGGUAAUAUCAUGAAAAUUCAAAUAUUUCAUUUAUUAGCUUUGAUUGGCUUGAAACUUUGUAUUAUGCUGUUUCAUGUCAUUCAACGGAAGAAUUUCUUCCUUGUAAAUUGAAUUCCAAUUAAAAGUCCUGGAUGAUGAGUGUUUUUGCCUUAACCAAACCGAAGUGAGCUGAGGCUGUCUCUUGAUCCUUAAUCCCUGUUAAAAGAAUACAUGGUUUUAAUAGUUAUUCUAGUUCAAGCCUCUUAAUUAUAUUUUGUUAAAUUGUUGGCAGGAGGUUCAUUAUAAUCAGCAUGGUUUGUUGCUCUUAGAGGGUCAGGGUAUUUAUCGUUUGGGCGACUACUGGUAAAUACUUCAUUAUUCUUACGUAACAUUUUGUUGAAAGCAUCUCAUAUAUACAAACUUGAAACUAGCUUGACAUUAUCUCGGGCAGAGCUGGAAGUUUUCUAUUUCAAAACCAAUUGACAAAGAGAAGAAUAACUCAUCUAUCUUAUAAGAAAGUUGAGCUCUCUUGGUUUUUCCAACGUGGGAUCCUCAACACGGUUUACCAUACUUGAUCGGAUCUAAUUUUUCUUUAUUGGACCAAAUAUCCAUUUGAGUUUAUAGACUCUAAUAAUAUAUUAGGUACCAUGAGUUUUCAUCUCAAAACUAUUCGACAAUAAGAAAAGACGUCUAUCAAUCUUAUAAUAAGCGUGAGAUCCUUCAACAUGAGAUCUUCAACGUUUUAGUAUUGAAAUUUUAGGGAAAUAAAUUAUAGAAAAAACUUAGAUUUAAGAGUUGACCAUCUUGCUAGACAUUAUCCCUUGAUCGUAAAGUUCACCAUACACCACAUGAACUUUAGAUAUAUCAAGUAGAAUAAAGGAGUUGUGAGAACAAUGGAUUUAAAAUAUAUGUACAGCUUGUAUCUUCUAAACUGCACUCUAGGCUUCUUCUUAUGAGAUAUGAGGAAAAUAAAAAGAACCACAUAAUUUGUUCCAGAUAUCCCUUGCUUAUUGUUGAUUCUGUUGUUGUAGGUACCCUGUUCAAUCUGGUGAUGCCAUUUGGAUGGCUCCCUUUGUUCCACAGUGGUUAGUUAAAUGCCUACAUGUUUCAUAUUUUCUCAUUUCAUCCACAUUACAAUAUGGUGCAAACUAUAGGGUUGGAGUUCAUAUGAUAUUUUUCAGGUAUGCUGCGCUUGGGAAAACACGAAGUCGCUAUCUGUUGUACAAGGAUAUGAACCGAAACCCACUUGAUCACAAGUAAUAUGUUGCAAUCUAUCAUAUUUCAUAUAUGGUAGAAUUUAUUUUAGAUGGUUCAAAUGAAAGUAGUGCAUGUCACCUUGUAGACCCCCUUGAUUUGUUUUUGGAAUAACAUAAUAUGUUGCAAAUUUACAAUCCACUUAGUUUGCUUUUUCUCAAACUUGGUAGUAAUUUAUAUUCAUUUUGACACUUAAUUUACCCCAUUUAAGUUUGGUCAAAUAUUCAUUUUGAUAAAAUAAGAUCUAACAAUAAUAGUCAAAGAAAAGUGCAUAUAACGUUUUUUUCGCACCUUGACUAAUCUCACUCAUUCACUUGACCCUACGACAGUUAGACGCCAAAGAAAAUUAUUGAGACUGUUUUUUUUAUCACUAAGCCAACCUAAGAUGGUUAUGGAUUAAAUCCACAUUUUAGCCUAUAAAUUUGAAAUUCGUGUCUAUUUAUUUAAAACAUCAUAAUCCAUCUAUGCUAAACCGUUAGCGUAUCGAGAUUGUGAUAUAUUGUUACAUUUGUAAGUAUUUUCAUUAGUUUUAUCCUUUUAAAUAAGUUUUCUAAAUUUUAAGAAUUCUAAAGACUCCUUAGAUACGAAAUUAAAGAAGUUUAAAGAUUUAAUUAGACAUAAAUCUCAAAGUUUGGAAGCGGUAUUCGUAACUAUUAACCUUAAAAAAAGUGCAAGUUUACCCUUUUUAGUUUCAUUUAUUAAUUUUAUAAUAUUAAAUAGGAUGAUAAUAAAAAAAAAAUAAAGAAGAUUAAGAAUAAAAAAAAUUGACAUUAGAAUAAAUCGGUAAUUUGAGAAAACUGAAAGGGAAUGAAAAACUAACAAAAUGAAAGUAGGCACUAUACUUGUGUUAGAAACUAAUUUUAGAAUAAAUGUUUUUGGUCAAAGCCUAUUCAUAAGCAAUAUUAGUUAAAAGAUAAAAUAAAAAUAGGAGAAAAUCAUGUCAAAAAUCCAAAGAGGAAAAAGAAAGGUUAUAUAUUACAGUUUUCAGGAUAUUGUGCAUUAACAAUCCGAAAGAUGAAGGGCAGAAAAAUCAAUUUCCGGAUACACAUUUUAUUAUUACCUCAACAGAAAACAUAUGGGAGUUGCAAACGGUUCAUAUAUUAUAUAUAUAUAUUAUAGCUAAGAACACAUUAUGAAAUAUCCUAAGCAACAAACCCAUUUUCUACAAGCAGCCCAUUUAAGCCAGCCUUAGAUCGCAUCCUUUUGCUUCUCAGCCUUUGGGAUAUCGCAAAGGCCAACUCCAGCGACUGCGAAGCAUUCAGUCUCGGAUCGCAGUGAGUAUGGUAGCGAGAAUUCAGGUCGUCGAAGGUCACUUCCUUCGACCCUCCGACGCAUUCUGUUACAUUCUGUCCAGUCAUUUCUAGAUGUACUCCUCCAGGAUGACUGCCUUCUUGUUCAUGAACAUCGAAGAAAGCUCUCAAUUCGGCCUAAGUAAAACAAAAUAGCAACAUCAACAUUAAUGUAUGGAGUAAAAGUGCAAUGGAUGCUUGUAGGUAGAAAAGUUGGUUUGUACCCUUAUUGAAUCAAAUGAACGAGUCUUCAGACCACAUGGAGCCUUUAUUGUGUUGCCGUGCAUUGGAUCGCUCACCCAUGUGACGAUAAGCCCCGCUUGGCGUACUGCUCUAAUGAGAUGAGGUAACUUGACUCGCAUAUUAUCUGCUCCCAUUCGGGUGAUGAUUGUAAGACGUCCGGGUCUGUUGCGGGGAUUCAAAAUCUCACAUAACUGAACAAGCUCCGAAGGAUCCAUUUUGUCACUUACCUGCAUAGCAUAAAAAGCCAGGGAUUAAUCAAGCACAGAUAUAAUGUUGUUGCAAUGUUCUCUUUUCUUUCACUACGUCUCCAAAAUAUACCAUCAAGCAAAAGGCUAUUAACGAAUUUGGCCAGAUAUAAAAGGACCAUGUGAUAUUCAGAGAGAAAAAGGUCUUGGUUUGAGCCUCCAAAUAUAAAGUUCAAUACAUUAAAAUCUUUGAUGUCUCCUGGAGCAAGUAUUUUGGGUAUGAGAAGUCUCCACGAGAAUAGGUGGUAUGGACAAUGCCACAGAGAUAUACAUAAAUUAAUGAAACUAGUCAAAACUUGCAUAAUAAUUACUUAUAAACGUUGAAACAAAAGAAAUUUAAUCAAAACUUAAAAAAGAAAAUCCUCACAAGCAACGGGGACCAUGCUAACUAACACAUUCAAGCAAAAUACCUCCAAGUACAGAUGCACUCAACUUUUUUUUCUCUUUAUUAUUGUUUUUUCCUUUCUAAUUCAAAGAAGCUGGACUUUCAUUGAGAGACUAAAAUAAUACAAAAAUGGAGCACCCACAAACAGCCCAACACGAGAAAGCCAACCUGUUACUGCAUGCCAAGUGACGGCAUAUUAUUGGCGAUUGAACAUUGGUUAGUGUUUUAAUGAAAGUCGAUGACAUCAAUGAAUCUAAAUCCCAGUAUAACGGCAGUAGUUUGGUACCUUAAUUCCAAGAGGAUUAGACACGCCUCGCAGAAAUUCAACAUGUGCACCAUCCAACUGUCGAGUCCUCUCACCAACCCAAAGCAUGUGAGCAGAACAAUCAUAAUAGAGGCCUGUCGUUGAGUCCUCCCUCGUCAAGGCUUGCUCAUAUGGUAAGUGAAGGCACUCGUGAGAAGUCCAGAAAUCAAUUGUGUUCAUUAUAGGAUGGUCCGUAGUGAUUCCAGCAGCUGCCAUAAAUCCCAGCGCUUCAUCUACCCUCUGAGCAAGUUCUUUAUACCUGCACGCAAUAAAUAAUAUUCACUCAAGUACUUAGACCUUCAUUCAAUAAGAUAAUCUGCAUUAUGGGAUGGUCCAUGGUCUCACAUAUAGACGUGCUCAUGGUACAUCGGUCACUAAUUCUGACUAGGCUUUGUCUGACCAAAAGCCAAGUCCAAAAGAUAGUAAAUUAUGUGAAAUUCCUGAGCUUCUGAACUCAGAACCUUAAAUAGUAUCUCAAAACCUUGUAAGUGCUUACCACUAAACUAAAAAGCCAACAAAUGGGAUACCCUGAAUAUGAUGGAGGAUGUGCAGGCAACAAAAAUAUGCCUCUUUUAAAUUAUAAGUAAAUUACUUAAUUAUUUCACAGCCAAAGAGAAUGUUCACCAUAGAGCAAUGUGUCACGGACGGCAACAAAGGUUCUGACACAGUGUCAGUUAAAUGUUAUUCAUUACAAUGUCAGUUAAAUGUUAUUCAUUUAGACACUUAACAAUUAUGAAAAUAUAAAAAUUCAAACUAGGAAAAGCUUUUCCUCUUUUUAAGAAGAUGGAAAAGUUGAGUUCAUAUUGAAGAGCAUAAAUUUUAGAACAUACAACCCAUAGUCUAUUGUUCAAGUAAGUCUGCUAUUAAAGAUCACAAAUUGUAAGAUGUUAAAGAUAAUAAUUCGAAAUGAGUACCUGUCUCCUUGCUCACUGUGUUGAACGAAGUCAAGAUUCCAUUGAGAAACUCUCUGCAUUGCAGCAUAUCCUCCAGUGGCAAACGCUCUAAGAAGGUUCAAUGUGCCUACGGAUUGGAGAUAUGCUCUAACCAAUCUUUGAGGAUCUGGGGUUCGAGAUUUCUCAUCAAAAGCAUCUGCAUUGAUGUUAUCUCCACGAUAACUCGGUAGCUCUACACCAUCUUUAACCUCAAACGGGUCUGACCUGGGUUUAGCAAAUUGUCCUGCCAUUCUUCCUACCUGUCAACGCAGUUGGUUGACCAAAUUUACAUCAAAUAAAUUCCAGACUAAAACAUUUCUCAUCUUUUACAUUACAACGCAAAGCUUAACGCCACGGUUUCAAAAGAAAAUGUUCCAAAUUCUAAAAACAGAGCUGUAUCCUAUGUUUUCGAGGCUUUUGAAUACGUGCUUGAUAUCAAAUUUAAUAUAAAACAUGUUGAUCGUUAUUAGUUUCUUAGAAUCUAAACCGAGAUACCAACUAGACAUUCCCAGAAUUCAUUUAACAAAUGAAUCUGAAAACAAUGGACUAAAUUUGGAUAAAAAGCAGAACAGAUCUAGAUGGAGCCUUUGCAAUCUCUUCCGGAAGAGAGUACGAAGAGAGAGGAGACUGAAAAAGACAUGAUAACGACAAACGCAGGGAAGAAAAAACAUGGACAGAGAUAAAAUAAUGCAAAUCCCAAUAAAUCAUGAACAGUGUAGUGAAAUAUGAAUUAACAAAUGAUGUGGGGCAGUGACUUUGGUCUGCACCCAUAUCCAAAAACAAACACUUUUGACCAGAAAACAUAAAAAAUUUCCAACUGACAGAAGAGAGAGAAGAAAAGUCCUAAAAGAAUCAGAGAUAAUCCUAUAAAAUUCAAGCAACAACACUCCAUCAUCCAAAACUCAUGGGGAAACACAACAAUUGAAAAGAAACAAACCUUUAUAAUAGGCAUUUGAGCGCCAUAUGUAAGAACAAUACCCAUCUGCAGCAAAACCCUGAACGUAUCCCUAAUAUUGUUCCCGUUAAACUCCUUGAAGCUCUCAGCGCAAUCCCCACCUUGAAGCAGAAAUGCUUCGCCAACGGCAGCCUUCGCGAGGCUCUCCUCGAGCUUGCGAGCCUCGCCGGCGAAGACGAUAGGAGGGAAGGACUCGAGAACGCGAAGAACGGAGUCGAGCUCGUUUGGAUCAGGAUAUUGAGGGAGUUGAAGGGCCUUCUUGGAUUUCCAAGAUUCAGGCGUCCAAUUGGAGGAUCCAGAAAUGAAAUGGGUGGAAGAAGAAGAAGAAACGGCGGAGGGAAUGGUCCGGCAGAAAUUGGCGGCAUUAGGGGUGAAGAAAUGGGGUUUGAAGAGGAAACAUUUGGCGAUGGAAGUUGUAGGAGCGGCGGAAGAAGAAGGAGGAAGGAGAUUGGCAAUGAUCAUGACGGUGAUUCGCCGGGAAAUUGUGAAGUGGGUUUCUUUAGUGGCUGGAUAAUGAGCUUACUACUACCCUAUGAACGCAAAUAUGUUUGGUUCAAAUACCCUCAUUUCCCAUUAAAUAAAAAUAUAUACAUUUUUUUCUACAAAAAAUAAAAAUUUGCUAUACUUUUUCAUUAUUUUAAACGAUUUAUCAUUUUUAAAAUUUUAUUUUGUUAAAAUAUACAUCUCAAACUUGGUCAAAAAUUGAAAUUCACUUAAGAAAUUGACCUUGUGUUAAAGUAUAGUCACUUAGUGUAAGAAGGAUAUGAUACACAAACAAAUAUUGGUUUCUUCCACUCCCUUCUUGCUCCAUAUUUUUGUUUAAACACAAAUACAACUUUUGUUAUCCUUCCAUUUUAUUCUUUGUUUAUCGGCUUCUUUCGUUGUUUUAUACAUUUAUAUACUUUUAAAGAGUUAAUUUUAGUGAAGGUUAUUUUCAAAUUCAAUUUGUAUACAUAUUUCUAUAAAGUUUUAUUUUUCAUUUUUUUCUAGAUAUUUUGUUAAAAGGAAUACUCAAUGGUCAAAAGGUGGAUAUGUAUGAGAAACGUGUUAUUUCCAAUAAAAAAUAUUUGAUUGCCAUUAAAGUUACAAUUCUGCUCAAUUUUCAAUUCUGUGUUUUAUUGAAAAAAAAUGGUGUAUUUUGUUUCAUAAAUUUUGUUUCCUCAAUUCUUAAAAUUGUAUGUUUUUGUACCAACUUCAACAAAAAGCUUGUUUUGAUCCCUAUAUGUAUAUAUUAAAAUGAUAUAUUUUAUCGUAUUAAUUAGGAUUUUGUCGGUUCUUUAAUGAAAUGAUGAUGUGAUUGAGUUUUGAAUUCAUCAUAUUAAUUAGAUUUAUAAAUAACAAAGAAAUCUCAUUAACUUGAAUCAAAUAAAUCUGUAGGCCGGAAAGCUACGUGUAUGGACUCAAAGAAACCACUUAUUUGCAUGUAAUGGUAGGUUUUCUCUCCAUUUGUCACUUACUUUCCAUUUCUUUUCACUUUGCGUGUAGACGUUGAUAACAAAAUAUUAAAGAAAUCCUCUACAAGACUUUCUUCUUCUUCUUUUACUGUAUUUUGUUCUUUGAGCUUCUUUAGAAGAUGGUGAGAUGAAGAGAGGAAGAGGUAGAAGAUGAACACACCAUGUUUUAAAGUGGUUCGACAGGUACCUAUAUCCAUUGUGCUCGAGAGCAAGUUAUUAUUUUAGUUCAAUGAUGAAUUUCAAAAUGAUACAUGUAUUUAUAGUAUUCCCUAAGACUUUAGUUAAAACUCUAGUUAAAACUAACAAAUUUAGCUACAUUUCUUUUACAAUAAGUGAUAAACGGUUUUAGUAAAGUGUCUUCCACAAAACCAAAAUUAAAAUUUAAUUAUGUUUUUUCUUUCUCUUCAAAACUCAAAUAUUUUGCUUCCCCUCCUUGGCAACCUUACUCAUUAAUUUUAAAAAAUUAGAAUCUUGAAACAAAUCAGAAGAACACUGAGUAAAAUAAUAAUAAUAAUAAUAAAAAUAGGCAUAUUGAAUUAAACUAGAAAAACAAAAUAAUUACAACGCAUUAUAAAAUAAACUCUACAAUAUUGUAAGUAAAUAUUUCUAAUAUGACUCACAAAGCCCCCCAAAAAGAAGAAAGAAUUGGGCGGAAGAGAAAAAAAAAUACUUCAAUUAAUCACAAAAUAUUUCAAACUUGAGGUACUAAAAAAUUUAUAUGUGGAUGAAAUUGCAUUUAGCAUAUGAGUUGAGAAAAAGAAAUAGAAUGUCAAUAUGCCAAAAUAGUGACUAUCAAAAUCUCAAACGUAAAGUAAUUUAAUUCAUUUGAUUAGCCCUUAACUAUUUCUAUCACAAUACAUAAUAGAUAAUUAACCUAUCGUAAAGUAUUGUUACGACAAGAGUGUUCCAAAUUUAAAAAUAUAAAGAUUAAAUUGAGAUUAAAAUUGUUUUUUUUUUAACAAAUACUAAUCAUUCAAAUAAAUCUCUAUACUUUGGAGAAGGUGGGAACUUGGUCCUUUAUAAUUUAGUAAAAUAAACUAAAGUAUUUAAAUACUAUAGCAAAUCUAUCAAAAUUGAUAAACUUUUAUCAUUGUUAGACAAUAUCACUUAUAGAAAUAUAUUAGUGCCCAUCCAUAUCUAUUAUAGAUAGAAUCUAAAAUUUUAUUAGAUGUUAGUAAAUAUUUUGUUAAAUUUACUAUAUUUGCUAAUAAUUGAAUAAGUUGUUUAAUAAUGAAGGAGAGAAACAUGUAGUAUAUUAGUAUUAAUAAAGAGGGUGAAGGGUUUUAGGCGACGACUAGCAUUGAAGGAGAACAUGCAAAGGAGAGUUCUUCGAAAUAGAUUUUAUUAGUAGUCUGUCAUUUAGGAUACAACGUGUCUUAUUAUUUGUGAUAGAAAAGAAAGGUGAUGUUUUUGGUAUUAAAUUAGUUUAAUUGCUUUAUUUUGUUUGACAUGUGAUGAGGGAAGAAGUUUGUUUUAGGAGAAGUUAUUGAAGAGUCAUCAAGCAAUUUACAACAAAACACACACAAGUGUCAUCCAUGCGAGUAAGAGAAUUCACUUAUGAGUGACAAAUUCUUUAAUUACUUGGGGUGAACAAUAUCACACUCUCACUCUACUAUUUUCCCACAUACAAUACAAGUUGUAGCACUUACACUUGUUUAGUAAAGGAAAAGGCAAUAGUAAAGUAGUUUGUUUAUGUUGAUGAUUCUAUACGUUUUUCUAGAUUGCAUAUUGCAAUGAAGCUUAUUGAAAAAGGUAGGAUGAACUUCUCACUUAUAGAUACUUUGUAAGAAGUAUUAGGGAGGGAUAUGUGUCACAUGGUAGCUUCAAAAUCACAAAGGAAAGACCCAUACAAAUAGUAGCUCGAAUCUUUUGAGAAAAGAGGUAAGAGUUGAGAAUUGAUAGAAAAAAUUGUUAUGGUUAAAGAAAAAUGGCAUAAUACAGAAUGAUAAUAGUUCUCUCAUAGGCUUUGUUAAAGCUAACAAACUUGUGUUUUUUCUUUAAUCAUAAGGGAUUGUUAUAUAUAUAUAUAUUUAUUUAUUUUAUAGGAUGAACUAAUCACCUUUUAGGUGAGGAUAAGUAUGGAACAAACUCAAACUAAUAAAUGCUCCUUUAAUCAAUAUAUUUUAGAGGUACUCUUAUUAUUUAAUAUUGAUGUUUCUAAGUUUGGGAAAGAAAAAAAAAUGGGGGCAGUAGCAAAAUGAGGAGGUUAAGUAUAUGUGAAUGAAAAAACUGCUUUCAUUGAGAGUCGAACUCAAGACCUCCCGCUUACUAAACGGGUGCUCUAACCAACUGAGCUAUGAAAGCUUUUUGUUGGAAUAAUUAAAAAUAUCAUUUAGUUUUAAAAUAUUUUAAAAUAUUUUCCCCUCAGAAUUCGUUUAUCAGAAAUCAGAUUUUCAAUAAUUCUGAUGCUCUGAAUAGAAAACAAUAAACCUAAAUUCUCUAUUUAAAACAUCAUUUUCCAACUUUUACUAUGGUUCAGCAAUGUUAUAACUAUUUGUUAUGACAUAACCUUUUCUGAAUAAUUUGAUCUUCAUCCUAUUAAAAAGAUUCGGUAAAUAGGAAUAAUAUUCGCUUAAAAAAAACUAAACAUAAGUUCUUGCUUGGCAAAAAGACCUGCUAAAAAAAGCACCCAAACCAAAACGAACAUUUGGAUAAAAAGAAUAGGUAAAUCACUCUCAAUGUUGAUACAUGAAAGAAAGAAGAACUCCUUUCUUUUUUUAAAAAAUAAUAAUCGUGGGCAGAAGAGAACUUCAAACUAAUAUACGUACCUUGAUAAUUCUAGAAUGAAGUCCAAAUUAAAUUAAAUUUUUUAAUUUCAAACAGGAUGUUCAUUAGAAGAAAACAAGUAAAAAUUCAAGAACAACCACCACAACCUUAUUUGAAUUGAAUAUCACUUGAUACAAACCUAGAUGAUCUCAACCAAAUCUUCAUCAAACCUCAUAAUUGCUCCAGUUUCAUUCAAUACAAGGUCAAUAAAAGCAAGAAUAAAGUACAAAAAGACAGACAAGGGUAUUCAUUUCUUGAACUUUUCAUUUAGAGCUGAAAUCCAAGACCUGGAAAACAUCCCAUUCUAAUGGAAGUUUGAGAAAAAGACAUUUAUGGACCUUUGUUUCUGAGAAACAGAUAAUAUGGACAAGGACAACUAAAGAAACUAUGGACCUAUUUAUUUGUCUGUCUAGAAUCCAAAAAUGGUACAAGAGGUCCUUCAAACAAGUUGAAAGUUAGGCCAUGAAAAUAGAGACUCGCAAAAUUCACUCUGCUUUCGUAUCGUCAGGUUCCACAUUGUAUUCUUCAUCAUCGUCGUCGUCUUCAUCUUCAUCUUCAUCUUCAUCGUCAUCACCCAUCAAGUUAAGUCGACUUAAUUUUUCAAGUCCAUUCUUGUCAUCAUCUUCGCCAAGGAAUUCCAGGCCAAAUUGUCUGUCACGGUGCUUCACUAAAAUCCAACGCAACAACCGAUCCUCCUUGUUUAAGUAAAACAACUCCUUGUUCAUGUUGGGAGUAGCCAUCAUCGUCAUCUGCAUAAGUUGGCCCUUUACCAUAAAAGAAAGAGUAAUAAUAUCAUUAAUUGAUUUAGAUACACAUACAAACAAAUAGAUCAAUCUUUUGUAGGAACCACAACAAAGUCAGGAAACUUCACAAUACAUCUGAUGAACAAGUUUUAGAUAAGAACAAUGCAGGGGCGUUUGGAGCAAGAAGUUAGCCAUUAUAGUCCUAAGUUAUUAUAGUUGGAUUAUAAUUUAUAAUAAUUUGUGUUUGAAGUGUAGAUUAUUUAAGUUUAGGUUACAAUAUUAUGUGUUUGAAGUGUAAACUAUUUUAGUUUGAGAAGAAAAUAGUAAACAUUGUAACAAAAAUUAAAAAAUGAUAAAUGCAAAAUAGUAAACUAUAACAAAUAAUAAAUAUUGUAGCAAAUGAGGAUUUUGAAAUAGUGUUGACUGCGACUGGAAGUACAAAAUAGUACUUAUUGUAGUAGUGGUAGUUAUUAUAGUCUUAGGAUAGUCUUGUUUCAAAUGCCCCUUAAGAUAUUGUGUACAUGAUGAUGCACAUCAGGGUUUGAAUAGAGACUUCCACUUUUGAUAGUUCCAACUGUGUAUAAAUGAAAGGUCUAGUAGCCCAAGCGAUAUUCAGCCAGGCUCUUUAGUAAAAAUAUACAAGGAUCAUGAUUAUGCCUCCGAAUAAAGUGGCUAGGUGAUCGGGGUUUCAAGAUCAGAAGCUUCAUUAGAAGUGGCACUUCCAACGUGAGAGAGCCUCCAAGGCAUAAAAUCAGUGACAAGAUUGGGCAUGUAUUAGGUACUAGAUAUGUAGUUUGUGUUGGUUAAGUGGUAUGAGAGUAAUUAGAUAGAUAGGAAGUUACUGGUAGCUAUUGUACAAGGGUGGUUACUACUUGUUAUAAAUAGAGGGAAGGUAAGUGAGUGAGGAGGAGGUUAUUCUGUGGAGUGAUCUAGGGUGGGUGAGAGUAAUCAAGAGGGAGGGUUCCAAGUGCCUUAUAACUGUGUUUAUCUUGUACUUCCUUAUAAUUGCAUUAUAAUAAAUUCAGAUCUUGUUCUUGUUAGGAAGUAUAUGGCGUGCUCAACUGGUUGGUUAAAUUAAGCAAAAGAAGUUACGAAUGGUGGUACACGGCCUUGGAUCUUUAAAUUCAGUUGUGAGAAAAUUUUAGUACUUCUCAAAGAUAACUGUUGGUAGCAACAGUAAUACUUUGUAUCAAGAUGAUAUCUGCGUUACAAAUUACAAAAUGGGUAGUUCCAGGUCUUGUGUCUGGUUCAGCCAUGUAAUAAUAAUUAAAACUACUAACUGAACGUUCACUUUAGCAGGAAUUUAAUGGAUAAGGAAAUGAAUGAGCAACUUUUGAUGAUGGGCAGACGAAUUAUGAUUGCCGGUCAAAAUUCCCUGUCCUGGCUUAUGUGAACCUCUGGUUGUUCUUUAUGACGUUUUAAAAUCACCUAAGUUCCAUCUAAAUCCUAAGCCCCCCAAAAUAGGACUUUACCAAAGACAAUCAAAUUUUUUUAAUGUACAAGUACCCUUAUAUAUCAAGGCUAUAGAUAAUUGGCGUUCCCUUCAAUUAUAGACAGUUUGUUCAAAUCCAAUCCAGUUCCAAACAGAACCCACCAAACUUUAAAACCUGAACCCCAUACCAAUUAAGAGGUUUGAACCAGGGACAUGUUGGAUUGGCUAAAUUUGAGCUAAACAAAUGAACCAACAAACUAGAAACCCUCUUGCUGAACAUGGGUAGCCUUGUGACUCAAUAACUAAAUGAAGAAAUGUGUGCUAGAAUAACUAAUAAAAAAAAUUCAAUUGUUCAAGAGGACCUAUUAGGGUCACUGAUUCAAUGAAAAGCAUCAGAUAGAGUUGACAUACAGAAACCUCAAACUGUAGAGACACAUCUAUUUCUUCGCAAGAAAGAAAAUCACAAAUUCACAUAACAUUACUUCUAGGAUGUCAAGGACAAUACCAACUGGGGAUAAAAUAAAACACAAAAAAAUAUAAUGCUGACAGAGAAAGUCAUUCGUGGCAGAUGCAGUACUCCUUUUAUUUCAAAGUAGGCAAAGGUCAUUCAGUGUCUCCAUAAAGGAAUGAAAUAGUCAUUCACCCUCCUUGCUUUACUUGGUGAUUUUACUCUCUAGGUGGAAAUGACUAAUAGGCAGAUUUGGAGUCCUAGUCUUUCAUUUGAGUUCUCUUGUCAGUCGUUUUUUAGUGUCUAGUGAGGAUCUGGAUCAUCUUAUUCAGUCUUGUCAGUUAGCUAAAUUGUUGUGAAGUGGUUUUUUUAGGCUCUCUCUUAGUUUGGCAUAGUCCAGGAGAUUAAGAGAUUUUCUUGAGUUGUGUGUGUUCCACUCACCUUUUCGAUGUAGGGUAGCAAGCUUUGUUGUGCUUGUUUUUGUGCUAUUUUGGGGGGUUCGGAGUGAAAGAAACAAUAGAAUUCUUAGAGCGAUUGAAAAUUUUGUAAGGGAGUUUGGUUUGCUAAUAAAUUUCAUAGUUAUCUUUGGGUAUUUGUUUGUAAAGGCUUCUGUAAUUUUCCUUUAGGCCUUAGGCAUAUUUUGAUUGACUAAAGCUCUUUUCUAGAUUAAUUGAGCUCCCCUUCAGCUGCUCCUUGUGAAUUCCCCUUGUAUUCUUUCAUUUAUUCUCAAUGAAACCUGGUUUUUCCCCCUCCCACAAAAAGAAAAGAGACAUUAAUUCCAACGUCAAAGCCUAACUUAUUAAAAAUUGGCAAGUAAUAUGGCAAAAUGCAUCCACAAUUUAAUCAUUUGUAGUUCUUUUGUAUAAAGGUUUACUGAGAUCUUCGAUGCAACCAAAAUCAAAAGAAACUAUUAUUCCUUCCAUCUUAAUCAAACCCAUUAAGUCAACUAAAGUCACUUUUAUCACCUUUGAAACAAUACAAUUAAAAACGUAUAUGUUGCUUAAAUGCAUUUAUGCUUAAUUGACACAAUAUGAAUGAGAUUUAAAGAUACAAUCAAGCUACAAGAACAACAAAAAGGAAGAUGAUAAAAUUCAACAGUAAAAUAACAGAUUUUCUUUUUAUUGAUAAGAACACCUUUCAUUGAGAAAAAAUGAAAGAACAGAUUUCAAAGUCACCUGAUAAUAUCUUCCAUCAAGCUUCUUAAUACCAUAACCCAAUUGGACAACACCAAAUGACUUAAUGUCACAGACAACCCCAUUUCUCCUGAACACAUGCUUGCCCACUCUAGCAACCAAGUCCAACAAAGCCUCCUUCUUUACAUGGGGUUUCAUCAAAAACAUAACAUCGUAAAGAGGCAUCUUAAUCUUCUGUUCUUUAGAACUAAAAUUCCUAUUUCGAACUUCUGAGAGAAAUGGUAGCCUGCGCCGUUUCCUUCACUUAACUCCUGGAUUUGAAACCAUUUCAAGCGUUUAGAUAGAAAAAUAAAUAAAAUAGAACAACGAAAUCGAAAUCAGUUGUGAUUUAUAUUCUUCUUCUCUACCUUAAAAAGGUUUGGUGUCGGAUAAUCCGCUAAGAUUCAAAACUUCCAAAAAAUAAAAAACGUUUCUAACUUUACCCUACAGGAGAUCAUAUUUUAAAAAAUUGAAUUCAAGCUGUCCCUAUGCCAGUUCAUAUGCAAUACGCACAGAUAGUGUCUUUCUAUGUUCAAGCAAGCUCCAAAGUUUCUUAUUUCCUUUGCUAUUUAAUUUAAAACGGAUAGCAACAAUUUAAAUCUUUUCAAUUUAGAUUCUCGAUUCCAGCCCAUUUUUAUUUUCAUUUUCGAAGGUGAACAGAAUAACUGAACAUAAGUAAACAAACAAAAUAUAAAGGAAAAAUAAGUAAAUAAACAACAAAUAAAAACCUUGGGAUCUAAAAAAUGAGCAGCAGUAGGCGUGAGGGGCGGUACGAUCUCACCAACAGCGGGGCUGAACCAGUGUUUCUAUUUCUGAGAUGAACAACAGAGAUAAGUAGCUCUGGUUGCUUGGGGAAGGGAGAGAGUGUGAGAGGGAGGGAGAGGCGGCGAGUUCGUCCAAAAGAUGAGAAUCUGGCAGAUAAGAGUGCAGCGUACGGCGGCCGCCGCUGAUACUGUGGCAGGCACGAGCGGCGUGCGUCGGAGCGGGAUGCAGUGGCUGUUAAUGAGAGGGUGUGUGGGUGAACGUCAAAUAGGGUUUAUGAAAAAUAGUUUUCUCAUUUCAAUCCCCCCAACAACUUGUAUGGUAAAAUGCAUGUAAAAGUAAAAUUACACACGAUUUGACAAAACUAACCUCUUAUAUAUAUAUACAUUUCAAAGGUAGCUUAGUAAUUUUGUUUUUUCUUCGAUUCAAUCUGAAAUUAAUUAAGAGAUUCUUCCUAAAAUUUAAAAACUCUCAACAAAAUUUCUUUGUCUCUCGAUCGAGUGUCAUAGUGUGUUUUUUAUUAAAAAUUUGAAGUUUACCAAAUACUUAUUGGAUCAAAGUUGUUUUGAGAUAGCCUCAAGCUAAUUGGGAACAUAAAGCAUUAUGUAAUAUGAUCUCUUUUCUACUCAAUGUAUCAACAAUUUUGUUCUCUUUCCUGACUUGAUGCUUGAUAAGGUAGGAUAUCGAGCAUGCAUGUUGAUACUUUUAUGUGCUUGUAAAUACUUGAUGAAAAAGUGGUUUGUGAGGAGAAUGAAAUCCUUGAUAAAACAUAAUGCUCCAAUUGCUUUAGAACCCUAAGAAUAAAACUUUGUUCAUAUGUACUUUAUGUUGUCUAGAAGAGCUUAGUUUCUCACUAAAGAACUCCACUAGAUGUUCUCGAGAUAAAAUUGUUGAGCUCCACAAGCAUCUAUUGACCCAAUUCAAUUCAGCUUCAAUAAGUAUCUAUGCUACUUCAAAGGGAUUGUUGAAUACGGGUAGUUUUAGGACUGGUUGACGGUUAAGCUUUAUCUUAAUCCUUUCAAAGCCUUUAUGUUGAUUCUUUCUCAUUAAAACUCUUUCUUUAGGCAGUCACUUAUUGGGUUGUUAUAAAGCUGAAAUUUCUAAUAAAUGUUGGGUAGAGUGAUGUCAAUCCCAUAAUUAAAGUGUUUUCUCUAUGGAAUAAUUUUUGUGCUUACCAUUUUCUUCUUAUUUCUAGUUGCACAACCAGGAUCAGUACCUAUGAGGGUUUUUUUUACGAACAUUAAACAAGGUAAUUUUUUAUAGAAGUUUUAUCUCUCAAAUUUUAUGCUUUUCUUUGUAUUCUUAUGUUAGAAUGCAUAUCUAGAACUUUCAAUCUAGUUUGAUCAAUAAAAUUAUGGAGAGUUCAAAAUCUUGAAGUUAGAAACAAGUUCUCCUUUCUUCUCGAUCUUUUAUCAAUCUUUUCCAAGCAAAAAAUUGUUUAGCUUUCUUGGGGUUGUUUAGCUAUUUAUUUAAUCGAUAUUCUUAUUAGUGUUGUGGGAGUUCACUUGAUUGAGGUAGUUCUGCUUAUAAAAGACAAUACAAUCUGACUAUCCAAUUAAAUCUAUAUUUUAAGAACUGGGUUGGAAAUACCAGGUUGUCAAUUCAACCAACUCGAAAUAUAUAAAAUGGAUUAUCAAUUGAACCGGUUUAACCUCUGGAUGAACUUUUGCAUAAGUUUAUUUUGGUAGUUUCACGGAAAGGAAAGAUUAUAAAAACUUAAAAUUUAAAAAAUGGGGACAAAUUUCAUUUCCUCAAAUUUUGGUUAAUUCCAAAUGAUAAUUAUCUUAAAGUGUUAAACCCCUCUUCUUCUCCCCUAUAAUUUGUCCUUUGACAAUUACCCACGAUUUAUGCCCUUUCUCAAUCGCCGUCGUCCACCUACGCUCACCCAGCCUCUUACUCACUCUCAGUAGCCACCCCCCUUGGUCGACGGAGUCCAUAAAUCGGCUCUCGCUCUUUCUCUCUCUCCAUCGCUCACCAUCUGUCUCUCUGGUCCUCCAUCACCCUGCGGCACUCCAUCUUUUUCUUGCCGGUAAUAUGCCAUCGACUUUUUAUUUUCCAUUCUUUUGUUUGAUUUCGUAAUCUAGGAAUUGCAUUAUAUUUGUAAAUAUUCGGGAUUGUGUGGAGCUAAAAAUAUCACAUUCCUUCCUUCUUCGAUUGUUUUUUUCCUUCCUCCCAGCCUAACUGAAAAGUUAUUUGAGGUCAGUCCCGUUAAUCUAAAAUUUUGGAUUGGUUAAAAUUUGCAAAGAAAAUGAAUAAAUUGAUUUGAAAAUUUGAAUUUAUUUAUGGAUUCUGACCCAAUUUACUAGAUUGAUAUUGAAUUUUAAAUUUGGUUAAAGUUUGUAAACGAAGGGAUUGAAGUGAUAUGAAAAGUGUAAUUUCUGUAUAGAUCACGUACCAGAUUGAAUAAGUUGUUCUGGAUGGCAGUAUUAAUAAGAUGCACUUCUUAAAAUUGUACGAUGUCUUGAAGAUUAGGAUUAGAUUCUGUGACUAUCUAUUAAGUUAUGAUAGGCAUAGGCUUUCAUUAAUUCAAAUGUAGAAAGGUAUAUGAGAUGUGAUUUGCUUGUUUAUGUUGCUUUCACCAAAUGCUGGUGUGAUGAGUUUAAUUAUUUUUAUUUGACUUUUUCUGAUAAAUUUAGUUGUAAGCUAAAUGGCUUGGCAUUUUUCUUUUGAUUAUACUACCCUUUGGCACAAGGUCAUUGCUCUUAAGUAUGAGCCCCAUCCCGUGCUGUUUUUGUCGAGUGAGGUUAAAGGCAUCGGAAUUUGUCGAAGGAUAUUUCUAUAGAGCCUCCCCUCUUUUUCCCAUUUCUUCUGUUGUGUGGUAGGAGAGGGUAAGGAAACAUAUUUAUAGGAAGAUUACUGGUCAGGGAGUUCAGUUUUCUUUUACUUUGGGUUUAGUUGCUCUUUGACCAGUAGAGAAGCAACUGUUGUCAUCUCUUUGUUGUCGUUUGGGGGAGUUUGACUUUAGGCAGGAGAUAGAAUUUGUGCGCCAGGAAUCCUGGCAAUUUGUAAGGAUUCUCAUGUAAUUCAUUUUCCAUUGUCUGUUGGAUCCUUCUCGUUCUCCUUCUAGUAAGUCUAUUUUUUUUCAGUGUUUUGGAGGAUUAAGAUUUCUUAGAAAGUGAAAUUCUUUACUUCAAGUUCUACAUGGACAUGUGAACACUUCGAAUCGGCCCUAAAGGAGGAUAUCGUUGUUAGUGGGCCUGUUUUUUUUUUUUUUUUUUGUUGGAAGUUGGAGGAAGAUCUGAAUCACAUCUUUUAGAGCUGUGAGUUUGCAGAUUCUAUCUUGAAUUUGUUCUUUGAAAGUUUUGGUUUUGUGCUUGCCCGUCAAAAGGACAUUAGUGUUAUAUUCAGGAAGUUCCUCUUCCAUCCACCACUUCUAUUCAGGAAGUUUCUUGUGGUUGGAAGGUUUUGCGCUAUUAUCUUCUUCUUCUUUUAAAUAUGAAAGUGUAUGCUAUCAUGUGGAAUUGUGUAGGAGAAAGGAACAAAGUGUUUAUAGGGUUGGAAAAGGAGCCCAAUGAUGUUGGGGUUCUUAUUAGGUUUCAUGUUUCUCUUUGGGAUUUGACUUCAUCUUUUUCCUUAGUGAAAUUCAUUUCUUUUUGAAGAAUGUUUUGUUCUUAAGUGUUAAUAAGUUAGUUAAGUAAAAAAAUUUAUAUUCACAAGUUCUGAUAAUUUAUUAAGUUUUGAUGUUAUGUUCCUAUUUUUAUAAGUUGAGUGGUUUGUUUUAAUUUGAUGAGUUAGUAUUCAUUUUCAUGAUAAGUUUGUUUAGGUGUUUUUUCUAUAUACGUUAGUGUAUGGGCCAACUUACACAUACUAUGACUAAUCUCACGAGACAACCAGCCUGACCUACAACAUUUGGGUGUCAUGGAAACCUUUAUAUUAAAUUCUAGGUAGGUGACCACCAUUGAUUGAAUCCAUGACCUCUUGGCCCUUUGGCCUUUUUUUUAUAUUCCCAUUACCACUAGGCCAACCCUCGAGGUUUUGUUAUGUUCAUGUUUCUUUUAGUUUUGUUUGUUUAAAUUUUACAAGUUUACCAUUUUUACGAUAAGCUCGUUUAGUUCUAUUGUUUAUUUUAAUUUGACGAGUAAGUAUCUAUUUUCAUGAUAAGUUUCUAAAUUUGUUAAGGUUUAUUGUUAAUGUUUUGAUAAGUUUGGUUUGAAUUUGAUAAGUUUAGUAGUGUUUAUAAGUUUCGAUAAGUUCGUUAAGUUUUGUUGUCGUGUUCAUAAAUUUUGAUAAGUUCGUAGUUUACUUCGAUUUAAUACCAUCAAUGAAAUUAUGUUGUGUUUUUCAUAAAAAAAAAUAGUUUUUUUCAAUUCCCAAUUCUACUUCUUUCAUUAUUUCAUUUCUUCAUCUACGUCAGAUUCUAUGCACGUAUGAUUUUGACUUGAGAACAAAUUGUACCACGUUUUAUGAAACUAUGAAAAACUAGGUGGAUUUUAUUUUAUUUUUUGGCUGCACUGACAAAAUGUUGCGCUCGACAAACCCAAUCAAUCAUGUUAUAGGUAAAUAAACGAUUAAGUUAUACUUGGUGAAACUCUUGUUUCUUCAUAACUUUGGCAAAUUCCAUUCAGAUUCUAGACUUUGCUUUUUCUUGGCUUUUCAAAUACUGAGAUCAUUGAAUCUUUUGCUGGUAAUUUGAACAUAAUUUUUAUUUAUUUAUUUACUUUCAUGCCUU